GGAACGUUCAUGUAAAGAACAAUUUGGUGUAGUUUGUUAUCCUUUUACAGCAGUUUAGAAACCCCAACUGCCAUUCGGGCUAGUUAAAACUAUU
Long non-coding RNA from Telopea speciosissima, 94 nucleotides. RefSeq lists it as uncharacterized. The transcript has 3 exons. NCBI's taxonomy places the organism in Eukaryota, Viridiplantae, Streptophyta, Magnoliopsida, Proteales, Proteaceae. The record is from RefSeq and is a predicted model, not a curated record.